RNAcentral lists this transfer RNA (72 nucleotides) under Camelus bactrianus (Bactrian camel). It matches the Rfam family "tRNA". From Rfam's summary of the family: Transfer RNA (tRNA) molecules are approximately 80 nucleotides in length. RNAcentral also lists the same sequence under 2 other names. Lineage: Eukaryota; Metazoa; Chordata; Mammalia; Artiodactyla; Camelidae. The record is from Rfam by way of RNAcentral.
GAGGGUAUCGCUCAGUGGUAGAGCGCAUGCUUAGCAUGUACAAAGCCCUGGGUUCAAUCCCCAGUACCUCCA